UAGGGAAUAUUGCGCAAUGGAGGAAACUCUGACGCAGCGACGCCGCGUGAGUGAUGAAGGCCUUCGGGUCGUAAAGCUCUGUUGCAGGGGAAAAAGAAAGUGAUUGUACCCUGCGAGGAAGGAUCGGCUAACUUCGUGCCAGCAGCCGCGGUAAGACGAGGGAUCCUAGCGUUGUUCGGAAUCAUUGGGCGUAAAGCGGGUGUAGGUGGCUUAAUAAGUCAGGUGUGAAAGCCCAGGGCUCAACCCUGGAAGUGCAUUUGAUACUGUUGAGCUUGAGUGUGGGAGAGGUAAUUAGAAUACCUGGUGUAGUGGUGAAAUACGUAGAUAUCAGGUGGAAUACCGGAGGCGAAGGCGGCUUACUGGCCCAACACUGACACUGAGACCCGAAAGCGUGGGGAUC
RNAcentral lists this ribosomal RNA (400 nucleotides) under uncultured bacterium. RNAcentral describes it as "bacterial SSU rRNA". It matches the Rfam family "Bacterial small subunit ribosomal RNA", at positions 355 to 769 of the family's 1533-position model. The record is from RNAcentral.